AGCUUUAUAGUCAAUAAUGAUAUUAGACUGCAAUUCUAAAGGAGUAAUAAUUUACUAAGGCUU
This 63-nucleotide transfer RNA is filed under the name Dacus ciliatus (lesser pumpkin fly). RNAcentral's name for it is "tRNA-Cys". The record is from RNAcentral. Lineage: Eukaryota; Metazoa; Arthropoda; Insecta; Diptera; Tephritidae.